This 3660-nucleotide unclassified non-coding RNA is filed under the name Mizuhopecten yessoensis (Yesso scallop). RNAcentral describes it as "acyloxyacyl hydrolase-like, transcript variant X5". The record is from RNAcentral. Lineage: Eukaryota; Metazoa; Mollusca; Bivalvia; Pectinida; Pectinidae.
UCUUGUGACUUAUCGUAAGAUUCGGAAUCGAGCAAACAUGUUGUACAGGGCACUUCUACUUUCUAUUUUUCUGUUAUUGUGUUAUGCGACUUCACCAUCAUUAUCAACUGGGAUUGGAGAUUUAAUGGUCAGAGGAAGAAAUGGUGGAAUAUCAUGUGCAGCAUGUACGGUCGUCAUGAUUUUGACGGAGCAGGUUUCUGUGAUACACAAUGAAACCAUCAUACAUUCCCUGGAGCGACUGUGUAACUACCUCCCGGACAAAUACAGGCAGCAAUGUCGGAUAUUCACAGAGUUCUUUGGAGGAAUUCUCAUAGCGAGAUUCACAGAAGAAGACAACCCUGAUACAUUUUGCCAUAAGAUCAGAUUCUGUUACACCGAGUCAGAUAAGCAGGAAUGCCGCGCCUUUCCAAAAACCGGGUCUAGAAGUUCACGAAAUGUUCAUUCGGGAAUCUUCAAAGAAUUGUUCAGUUCCGAAAUGAAGCAAGAAACAUACCAGAUACACCAAGAUACUAAGAUUUGUGAAUUACCUGGAAUAAAAAUUAUUUGUAAUUGGAUAGACAAGAUAUUGGACAAACAUGUCCCUGUUAUUGACUUGGAUGGUGACAGAUACAGUACAUUCCAGGCACUGCGGGGGAGCUCUUGGAGGGGAAAGGACUGUGAUGAUUCUAGAAAAGACAUACACCCAGGAAGCCGGCCAAUCCAGUCAGACAGGGACAAGGAUAGUAAUUGCAAUGGUAUCAUGGGAGUAGAUCCCGUCAGCGGCCAGCCAUACGAGGACCUGUACUGCAAGGAUAGCCAAGCGAGGGGCGUGGUUGUCCUAGGCGACUCCAUCAGUGCACACUUCCACAUCCCCAGGGAGUGGCUCAACGCUACAGAAAUAUCAGCAGCAGUUUUUAAACCUUUACCUUUCAUAUUGGGGAACGAAUUUAAUUGGCCAGAAUUAUCUUCUAUCACAGGUUACAUGAACAACACUUACACCAAUGUAAAUCAUGGCCCUAUGAACUCGGUCUAUGACUAUCUGUGGCAGAGGAACCGCUGUAACCACAGGGAUUAUCAAAACCUUGCUGUCAAUGGUGCCAGAUCAUGGUCAGUGGCUGACACAAUUGAGAAAAGCAUUUCUCGUAACCAGAUAACAGAUAAUCCUGUCACACUUUUCUACGCCUUAGUUGGAAUGGAUGUUUGCAAUCCGCUUACAGACACAGUUGCUUACAUGACAACACCAGAAGAAAUGAAGAACAACUCCAUUAUAACUUUGCAGUUUUUGGAGAAAACCCUGCCUGCUGGGAGUCACGUUUUUCUUGUAGGUUUGGCAGAAGGUAGGGUCCUCUAUGACAGUCUUAAGGACAGAGUACACCCAAUUGGUUCUCUAAGGAAUGACGUCACUUACUCCCACUUCUACGAUUACUUUAACUGCUUAGAGAUAUCUUCUUGCCGAGGUUGGAUGAAUACUAACGAGACUAUAAGAAAUAUGACAACACAGAGAGCCGAGCAGCUGAGUAAUGUACUGAAGGAAGUGGCACAGACUGAGGCAGCCAAGUACCACAAUUUUAAACUCGCCUACUUGGAAAAUCCUGUUUUCAAAGUUUUUGAACAUUGGAGAAAUCUUGGACGUCCCCUUUGGGAGCUGCUUGAACCAGUAGACGGUUUUCACACAAACCAGCUUGGCCAGGCACUCACAGGGCAGGUGCUAUGGCAGAUCCUGGAAACUGAAUAUCCCGAUGCCAUCGGUCCCAUCAACCCAUUUAACAACAAGAUCAAAGCCAUUUUUGGAGACCAAGAAGGCUAUUGAGCACGUGAACAACAUCUGGAAGAGAUAUACACGUUUUCUGUGAUUAAUCUAUUGUAUUAGCUUAUUGUUUCCCAACACAAAAUUUCUGUGAAAGGUCAUUCUAUUUUAUCUUUUCCUUAUCGGAUAUAUUUUUCAACUGUUCACAAUCGAACCUUUGAGACCUAUAAUGUACGCUGUAAUAUGUGAUAAACAAUAUUUAAUUUAAUAUGACAUUAUUUCUAUAGUAGAUGUUGCCAAUGCUUGCCGUAUAUAGCAUGAUUUUAAGGAAAGAUAAACCCUUAACUUGGUAUAUGAGAUUUUAUAUACCAAGGUAUUUUCAUAAACGAAUAAUACAUAUAGGAUAAUAUUAUCAAUGUAAAAGUGAUAUCAUUUGAUAUGAAUAUAUAGUUCACUUUGUGAUGGUAGACGAAAGUGAGUAAGAUUUAAUAUUUGGUUACUUUAUGAUAAAUAUGAUUGACAUGCGUGUGUUAUAGACACAUUUUUGUAAUGUACUUGUUUUUGUUAUGUCGUGCAGCUGAUAAAAAUACCACUGACAACCUAGUACAUAUGUACUGGAGCUGAAGAGCCAAUUCUUGCCAUAAGAUAAAACCAUGACUUUGUUUUAUGCUACAAAUCGAUCACACAUUGAUGGAACUUUAAUAGGACAUGUACAUGACAUGUAAAAAAGGAGUUCUGGGUAGAUUCAAUUAAGGAUUAACCUUCAUUUUGACUGCGUAUACGGUAUUAUGAACGCAGUUGGCAACGAACAUAUUCUAUGGAGCGCGUAACGUGCGUAAAUCCAAACAAAUGAACAGCCUACAGCCCGCGAGCAGCGAUGGAUCUCCAACGUUACCAUUAUGACGUCACAAUGUAAAUUACGUCAUCAAUAGGAAGCAAUGGUCUCCAAGGAAUUUCACUGCGUAUACGGUAAUGUAUACGCAGUCACGGUUACACAACUUCAAUGGGAGCGAAUGUAAAUAUAACGUUAUGCAACAUGAUAGGAAAGACUAGAUUUGCUGUUAUGUGUUAUAAUGGGAAAACUGGGAAAUGCGUGUUAAAAAAUGUUUCAAUGUGAAAACUGUACACAUUAUAAGGAGAAAAAAAAUUAAUAAUGUGUAGGUUAUAGAUCAUAUGGGGGGAGAACUGCUGGGUAAUCAUGUGUAAAUUAUACAAUUAUAAGGUGUGUAGUUGUGUUAAUGUAUGCAUGUUCAGCUUUUCAAUAAAUCAUUAAGAAUGCCUUAUCUUUUGGAUACUGUGGUGCAGUAUACUCUAAUACUGUACAUGUUAUAGUUAUGUACAGUAUACUCUAAUACUGUACAUGUUAGGGUUAUGUACAGUAUACUCUAAUACUGUACAUGUUAUGGUUAUGUACACUGUAACAACAGUUCCAUGGACUCUUAAAUUGAAAUACAUUUAUAUCAGGGAUCAGAUUUUAUUGCUAAGAUUUUGUUAGAAAAACGAUAUUUUGCUAGUUCUUAUAUAUCUUUUUAUCUUUUAUUUACUACAUUUUUUGUUAUGAAAUUGCAUUUUGUAUAAUUUGUUUUACUAUUAUAAAUGUUCAUUGAUUUUCUUGCCUAAACAAAACACUCAUUUGAUUCCUAAUUCCUAUCUGAUAUAGAAUGCACUGUUUAGGAAAAGCUUGCAGGUUUUUGAUUCAUGAUAGUGAUAACUAUUUGACAUUAUUUCGACCAAUUGUAUGCAAAUGUAUCUGGUAAACGAUAUGAGUGCUACAUUAAUGCACGUAUUAUUAUUGUAUCAUUUCAGUCAUAUUUAUAUCAAUAAAUUGUUAAUGUUUCAUGUCCCUUUUUUAUCUCCACGAAGUCGUUUUAUAAUUAUCUUAUACUAUGUUAUAUAUCGUUUUCUUUGAAACUCUGCAUUAAAAUACCUUCAAA